GUUGUUUUGGCAGAGUAGUGCAAUUGAUUUAGAAUCUUUAUAUGUAUAUUUUUAUACAAAUAACA
RNAcentral lists this transfer RNA (65 nucleotides) under Xylotrechus magnicollis. RNAcentral's name for it is "tRNA-Leu". It matches the Rfam family "tRNA". Rfam says of the family: Transfer RNA (tRNA) molecules are approximately 80 nucleotides in length. Their secondary structure includes four short double-helical elements and three loops (D, anti-codon, and T loops). Lineage: Eukaryota; Metazoa; Arthropoda; Insecta; Coleoptera; Cerambycidae. The record is from RNAcentral.